GAGUCACGCGCGAAUCUCCGGGCAAAAUGCGCGAUUUAAUUAAUUCGUAUCGCGCCGCGGACUCGGCCGCAAAAAAGGCUCGAGCCGGGCGAUAAAUCGUUUUUGUCCGUGCCUCGUCGAUCGUAAACAACGCGCCUCUUCUCGGGAGAGUUGGCGGAGAAUCAACCCGUCGAUUUCACGGGUUUUCAAUUUUAUGCUUCCGAAAGAAAAAUUCUGAAUGCGCAAAUGUUAUAUGUACUUAUUUAUACAAGAAAUCCGUGAAUUUGACGGGUUAAUUUAUAUUAUUGCGAAAUAACAAUGAAUAAGAAAAAACAACACGAAGCAAAUGACGACUGUUUAGCAAUAAAUACGUGAUCAAACAAAUUGUUUAUAAUUGUGAUAUUAUAACAAAUAAUCCUUUCAACGGUGAAUUUUGCAGAGAAAAAAAGUGAUUUUUGUAUUUUCAAAAUUCUAUCCAAAAAAAUAUACUUUUUUACGUUUAUAUUAUUAUUAAUCCAAGUCUUCAAAAGACAUGGAAUUGAUAAAAAAGAAUAAUGAAGCAUAAAUGAAAAUCAAUCUGGAUCGGAUUUUUGAUAAACGAAUUAGCAAAAGCAAGGAAAAAUUUGACAAUAUAAACGAAAUUGAAGAUUCUGACGACAAGUGAGAAUGAAAAUUAUCACAAUAUGUAUAAAAGAAAAAGAAUGCGUAUUAUUUCAGAUAUUGAAAGCGAAAGUGAAAUAAAAGAUGCCGAUAAUGAAGAAAAUAAACAAACUUCGUGUGUUUUACAAUUGUUCUUAGAUUUGCCAGUCAUCAAUGCAUUAUUACACAAAGAGACCACUGACGUACGAAACAAAAUUCGAAAGAAUUUUCUCUUUCAAUUAGCCGAAGAAUUGGGCAGUGACCAUCACGACGAACGAAAUACUAGCUCCAAUUCAGUGUCUGACUAUAUUUGCAUUAAAUCUAACGAGUAUGCAUGCGGAAAGUAUACAUCCAAGAUAUUUUUUACACGCGUAAAAAAUAUAUUGAAGACAACGUAAGUAAAAGUCCAUAGAUUUUAAAUAAAUAAUUUACAGAAAAUUUUAAAGGAUUUCAAUAAAAAAAUAUAUAUAUAUAA
Long non-coding RNA from Apis laboriosa (Himalayan honeybee), 1093 nucleotides. RefSeq lists it as uncharacterized. The record is from RefSeq and is a predicted model, not a curated record. The transcript is spliced from 3 exons. Lineage: Eukaryota; Metazoa; Arthropoda; Insecta; Hymenoptera; Apidae.